RNAcentral lists this ribosomal RNA (415 nucleotides) under uncultured fungus. RNAcentral describes it as "eukaryotic LSU rRNA". The stretch from base 50 to 203 matches the Rfam family "5.8S ribosomal RNA". Lineage: Eukaryota; Fungi. The record is from RNAcentral.
GCACAAAACUCUUCUAAUGUUAUCUCUGAGUUACUUAUAAAUAAGUUAAAACUUUCAACAACGGAUCUCUUGGUUCUGGCAUCGAUGAAGAACGCAGCGAAAUGCGAUAAGUAAUGUGAAUUGCAGAAUUCAGUGAAUCAUCGAAUCUUUGAACGCACAUUGCGCCCGUCAGUAUUCUGAUGGGCAUGCCUGUUCGAGCGUCAUUUCAACCAUCAAGCCCUAGGCUUGUGUUGGGGCACUGCGGCUGCCGCAGGCCCCUAAAAGCAGUGGCGGACUCGCUGUCAUACCGAGCGCAGUAGCACAUCUCGCUCAGGGCGUGGCAGCGGGCACCGGCCGUAAAACAACUAAAACUUAAGGUUGACCUCGGAUCAGGUAGGAAUACCCGCUGAACUUAAGCAUAUCAAUAAGCGGAGGA